GGGGAUUGCAAUUAUUCCCCAUGAACGAGGAAUUCCCAGUAAGUGCGGGUCAUAAGCUUGCGUUGAUUAAGUCCCUGCCCUUUGUACACACCGCCCGUCGCUACUACCGAUUGGAUGGUUUAGUGAGGCCCUCGGAUCGGCCCCGCCGGGGUCGGCCCACGGCCCUGGCGGAGCGCUGAGAAGACGGUCGAACUUGACUAUCUAGAGGAAGUAAAAGUCGUAACAAGGUUUCCGUAGGUGAACCUGCGGAAGG
RNAcentral lists this ribosomal RNA (253 nucleotides) under Vibrio cholerae. RNAcentral describes it as "partial 16S ribosomal RNA". It matches the Rfam family "Eukaryotic small subunit ribosomal RNA", at positions 1579 to 1824 of the family's 1831-position model. The record is from RNAcentral. Lineage: Bacteria; Pseudomonadati; Pseudomonadota; Gammaproteobacteria; Vibrionales; Vibrionaceae.